AUGACCAUCAACGCCCUGGCACGCCAAGUCCUCAUUAGCGCUGGUGGCUUCUUCGAGAUGACCGUCUGUCCAGGUGAGCACGCACUGAGAAUCUCCUCUGAAGUCUAUAGGAACUGGAACUUCACCGAGCAGGCACUGCCGGUAGACCUGAUCAAGAGAGGUGUGGCGAAGGAGGACACGGAGAGCCCGUGCGGAGUGUCGCUGCACAUCAAGGACUAUCCGUACGCGGUGGAUGGGUUGGCCGUCUGGUCGGCCAUCGAGACUUGGGUCGACGAGUACUGCAGGAUCUACUACCCCUGUGAUGACGUGCUUCGGUCCGACGUCGAGCUACAGGCAUGGUGGAAGGAGGUGCGUGAGGUCGGCCAUGGCGACAUCAAAGACCAGCCCUGGUGGCCCAAGAUGACAACCGUGAACGAGCUCGUCAGGUCAUGUGCCACCAUCAUCUGGAUCGCCUCUGCGCUGCAUGCGGCCGUCAACUUUGGCCAGUACUCAUACGCCGGCUACCUCCCCAACCGUCCGACGGUGAGCCGACGGCAGAUGCCGGAGCCGGGCACCAAGGAGUACAAGGAGGUGGAGACUGACCCGGACCUGGCCUUCAUCCACACCAUCACGAGCCAGCUCCAAAGCAUCAUUGGAGUGUCGGUGAUCGAGGUCCUGUCCAACCACUCCUCCGACGAAGUCUACCUGGGGCAGCGCGAUGAGCCAAAGUGGACAUCAGAUGUGAAGGCGAAAAAGGCGUUCGAGGACUUCAGCCAGAAGUUGAUCGACAUCGAGAAGAGAAUCAUGAAUAUGAACGCGAAUCGCCAACUCAAGAACCGGAAUGGGCCAGCAAAAUUCCCCUACAUGCUUCUCUACCCCAACACAUCUGACAUCGAUGGUGAGAGCGCCACCGGGAUCACAGCCAAGGGCAUCCCCAACAGCAUCUCCAUCUGA
This 933-nucleotide ribosomal RNA is filed under the name Triticum aestivum (bread wheat). RNAcentral's name for it is "partial small subunit ribosomal RNA". The record is from RNAcentral. Lineage: Eukaryota; Viridiplantae; Streptophyta; Magnoliopsida; Poales; Poaceae.